RNAcentral lists this long non-coding RNA (1389 nucleotides) under Citrus x clementina. RNAcentral describes it as "Citrus clementina (C. clementina) long non-coding RNA (CCLE_LNC003101)". Lineage: Eukaryota; Viridiplantae; Streptophyta; Magnoliopsida; Sapindales; Rutaceae. The record is from RNAcentral.
CGAAAUCCCAAAGAGUUCUAGAUGAUCACAAGAUGACUUUUUACAUUCCCCCCCUUUUAUGGCAAUUUGCAGUUUAAGGACAAGCAAAAUAGGCCAGAGCACAAUUUUCAUACAGUGGUUUAUUUACCUCAUAAUAAGCUUGCAUUAUGAAGACGAGCUUAUUUUAUUACAGGAUUUUCUUCAAGCUUCUAUAAGAUAUUUCCACUAGGCUCGUUGACAAGGACUUUAAAAUAUCUUAAAACAGAUUUCCUUUUUCUUUUAGCAUAAAUAAAGCAAUUUAUCUUUCUAAACAUACAUCGUCCAAGUAUCUUGUAACCUACAUUCGAUAAAUACGAACUAUAAUUAAAGUUUUCAAUAUUCACAUUCAUUUGUCUUAUAUAUUUCAUCUUAAGUACUCAUUAAUAGGUAAACGUGCUUGUUUAGGGUUCCUUUGGAAUUGCUUUUCGGAGUUAAAAAAAAAAAUCACAUCAAUGUUUUCAAAAUCAAUCAUUUCUACAGCUAAUUUUGAAAAAGAGGGAAAGAGUAGCUUUUAGAUUCGAAUUUUGAGAAUUAAUUUUAUCUUUUAAUGCAAUUCCAUAAAUAUCCUUAAAAUUAUUACCUAAACCCAAAAUUAUCCUUAUUCAAAAUGGAAACAAAAUCAAUAUUUUUAAUAUCCUUGCAACAACUAGGGAUACCAAUGGACACCGUUGCAGGUUUGACAAUACCAAACCCUCACCAACACAAAAUUUAAAUUAUCAAACUUACUCGCUACUUGUUGUGAGUUUUAAUUUUUUUAAGAAAACACACCCGCAACGAUUUUUGACGAUUACCAAACCCACGAUGAUACCCAACAAUUUUUUUGCGGCCUCCGACAUUUAAAAUCACAAUUACUCAAUAUGUAAAUUUAAGCUAGUCCAAAGUACAAAAUUAUCCAUGCUGAUUUUAAACAAGCUGAAUAUAUAACUGUGUAUAUAUCAUCACACAAGUUUGAAAUGUAAUCAAAUACCAUAAAUUUGAUGAAAAUAAUAGAUUAAUAGCAGCAGAUAAUGAAAACAAUACCUUCCACGACCACAAUGGAUGAAAAUAGCAACAAUACGAGAAGAUGGCAGCUGUAACGACAAUGACGGAGACAGUAGUGAUGGUUGUAGAAUCAGCAGUAGAGGCAACAACAAUAGUGGCAAAAUGAAUGGUGGCGGCUGCUGCAGAAUCAAUGGUCGCCGCAGUGGCUGCAACAACAUAACGCAAUUAUCGGUAGAGAAAGGAGUUGGGCGCUGAUUGUUUGGAUUGAGAAGGGAGUUGGGCAGCAAGAUAGUUGUGCGACUCAUGGUCACGGCUAAAGGUAGAUGACAAAUUGGUUUCCUUUAGUUUACUUUAGAUGAGGGAUCAACUAAAGAAGUAGAUGGACUUUAG